CCUACGGGUGGCAGCAGUGAGGAAUAUUGGUCAAUGGACGAGAGUCUGAACCAGCCAAGUAGCGUGAAGGAUGACUGCCCUAUGGGUUGUAAACUUCUUUUAUAUGGGAAUAAAACGUUCCACGUGUGGGAGUUUGUAUGUACCAUAUGAAUAAGGAUCGGCUAACUACGUGCCAGCAGCCGCGGUAAUACGUAGGGGGCAAGCGUUGUUCGGAAUGACUGGGCGUAAAGGGUGUGUAGGUGGUUUGAUAAGUUAGAUGUGUAAUACCCAGGGCUUAACUCGGGUGCUGCAACUAAAACUGUUAGACUUGAGUACUGGAGAGGAUAGUGGAAUUCCUAGUGUAGCGGUGGAAUGCGUAGAUAUUAGGAGGAACAUCAGUGGCGAAGGCGACUAUCUGGACAGCAACUGACACUGAGGCACGAAAGCGUGGGGAGCAAACAGGAUUAGAUACCCCAGUAGUC
RNAcentral lists this ribosomal RNA (461 nucleotides) under uncultured bacterium. RNAcentral describes it as "partial 16S ribosomal RNA". It matches the Rfam family "Bacterial small subunit ribosomal RNA", at positions 338 to 795 of the family's 1533-position model. The record is from RNAcentral.